Molecule: long non-coding RNA, 1684 nt
Organism: Ostrinia furnacalis (Asian corn borer)
Lineage: Eukaryota; Metazoa; Arthropoda; Insecta; Lepidoptera; Crambidae
Exons: 2
Source: RefSeq, a predicted model, not a curated record
UUCUUAUGGUAAUAGUAAGUACUUAGUUAGGCAAUAUCUAACAGUAUCGCCACGCGUCGUAGCGUAGAUAUCAUACAUCAAUCAGCUAUUGGAGUUGUUUUUUUUUUGGUGGAGUAACUACUUAGAUACAAUUCAGGGGAAGACCGAGGGCAAUCAGUACACACUGGUAUGACGUGUCACCAAUCACCAUUGACUCUGGCGUCAAUCCUUGAGUGCCUUUUUCAACGGGUCACACAACUCCAGAUCCAGUCGGUGUGGCGGUCGAUCCUGGUGAAGGUAUCGGGCGUGGAGUCGUCGCAGGAGCUGGAGUAGUAGGACGCGAUGCCCACCAGAACCUCCCCGAUGAUGAUGAUAAUUCGGGUUGCAGACCAAGAGCUAAGUUACUUUAGCUUAGCUGACGCGGUUUCCAUAGUCGUGUGCAAAUGUAAACUAUAAAAACACUGGAAAACUGCGUCAGUUACGCGAGCCAAGCUAACCUUGCUAGGAGUACACUCGUAUGACGCUGACUCGUACGAGUGUACUCGGACGUGACUCGGUCCGAGCUGUCUCGUAACGUGUCAACCCGGCUUAAGCCGGGUUGACACGAUAAGAGUCAGUUCGGACCGAGUGGACUCGGAUUACUACUCGGACGCUACUCGUAUCGUGUAAACAUGUAAUCCGAGCGCACUCGUACGAAUGUACUAUGACAGAGCGGACUAGGACGCUGCUCUAUUUUUUCUAUCACUCGGAUCUGAGCUCGGACAAUUUUAAUUAAAAAUAAUGGCGGCGUCAAGGAAAAAGUGGUCGGAACGUGAUACUGUCAGGUUCGUGGAACUGUAUGAAGAAGAAGAAGUGCUGUGGAACGUGAGACUUAAAGAGUAUAAAAUCAAAGAUGCCCGAAAUGCCGUUAUUGAGCGCAUUAUAUUGUUCAAUUCUUUUAUUAGUAUAUCUGAAACAACUGUGAUACCAUGCAAUAGCAGAUCAGUCUGUUCCAUGUUGAGUAGAUCAGUGUUUUCCGAGAGUUGACACAAAAUUGGUGCAAAAUUGAAUGAGCUUUGAUAAGAGUACACUAUGAACGUGUAAACCACUAUAGGAGUACACUCGUAUGACGCUGACUCGUACGAGUGUACUCGGACGUGACUCGGUCCGAGCUGUCUCGUAACGUGUCAACCCGGCUUUAUUAAGCCGGGUUUUCACAGUAUGAGUUGGCUCGGACCGAGUGGACUCGUACGAGUUAGGUCGUAUAGGAGUACACUCGUAUAGUAGAAGCCGGGUUGACACGUUACGAGACAGCUCGGACCGAGUCACGUCCGAGUACACUCGUACGAGUCAGCGUCAUACGAGUGUACUCCUAUAGUGGUUUACACGUUCAUAGUGUACUCUUAUCAAAGCUCAUUCAAUUUUGCACCAAUUUUGUGUCAACUCUCGGAAAACACUGAUCUGCUCAACAUGGAACAGACUGAUCUGCUAUUGCAUGGUAUCACAGUUGUUUCAGAUAUACUAAUAAAAGAAUUGAACAAUAUAAUGCGCUCAAUAACGGCAUUUCGGGCAUCUUUGAUUUUAUACUCUUUAAGUCUCACGUUCCACAGCACUUCUUCUUCUUCAUACAGUUCCACGAACCUGACAGUAUCACGUUCCGACCACUUUUUCCUUGACGCCGCCAUUAUUUUUAAUUAAAAUUGUCCGAGCUCAGAUCCGAGUGAUA